Spinacia oleracea (spinach) is the source of this 1295-nucleotide long non-coding RNA. RefSeq lists it as uncharacterized. The transcript has 3 exons. NCBI's taxonomy places the organism in Eukaryota, Viridiplantae, Streptophyta, Magnoliopsida, Caryophyllales, Amaranthaceae. The record is from RefSeq and is a predicted model, not a curated record.
AAACCUCGGGGGCAUUUCAUGAAAAAACCGUAAUUGUUAUUGUCCGUUGUCCAAUCCCGGUCUGCAUUUGUGGUGAACCGCUGCCCUAGAUUCCCUUAAUAUUGUUAUAUUCCAGUUUGAUUAUUUGCCUUAGCUUAAUAUACAAACCAAUCCAAUUCUUUGUUACCAGUAGUCUAGAUUAGUUAAUUAAUAGUAGAAAGAACAUUGUUUCCCUGUGGAUACGAUCCCUGCUUCCCUUGCUAUAUUUUUAGUUGGUGAACGUUAGGUUUAUCUUUGAUAGGAGUGCGAUUUAGCUUGUCAGCUACAUUGAGGUAGUGUUUUUUUUUUUAAAGAGUUUGGGAUAAUGACAAGGUUUCGGUAUGUCAUUGUUUUCCUUUUAUUUGGUAAGUGUCUUACUGUUUUCAUUGAUUUUUUAAAAACAAUUUUAUGUAGAAAUUUGAUAUAGAAAUGUUAGGUAUUGCUUUGAAUUUUGUGUUUAUAAAUCCCUACAGGUUCCGUGAUGUGAAUACUUAGAAACACUUAACCUUUGAUACUUACAAAUUACUUAUUCUAAAGUUGUCAUUAGAAAGACUUAAACUGUGAUAUUAUAAGUUUUGAGAACUUGACUCCCUUGCUUUUUAAUAGAUUAAAAGUAUUAACAUGACAAGAACUAAUCAUCUGCUUCCUGGAUCUUCUAUUCAUACACUAAUCAACUCAUGUCCCUAUAAACAAUAUAAUAGGCUACCACUAAUGUAGUGUCUGAAUGCCCGUCAAUUUUAUUUUGCAACGAAAAAACUAAACACUACCAUAAGUAGAAACUGUGCUUCCCUGCUCAUUUGCAUCUCAAGAUGUCAAUGUGUACUCACCUAUAUCCCUGACUUAGGCUGCUGUGCCUUUCUUCUGUGAUCUUUAUGAUUAUGGUGGUACUCAAUUGGGUUUUGUUGUUCUUGAGUAAUCGUCAAAUGCGUGUGUUCUGGGAAUUCGAUAUAGCUUGCAAUUGAUCUGGGUUGCAGCAUUUUCAGAUUAAAAGGAAAAGAAUAAGGCUCGUGGGUGUGGAAUGCAGGACAUCAACAACACAAGGAUAAAAUGCUUUUGUUUCUUAUAUUAAGUGUUGUAAACACAUUGGACAUAUUACUUUAUAGAUUGUAACUAAUCUGUUUAGUUUUAUCUAUAGGUUUGGUAUAAUUUCAAAAAAAAGUAAUUCAAAAACUUAUUUAUGUAUGAUACAAAGGAUUUGGUUUCCAUGUAACUAUUAGACAUAAUAAAAACUCCUGUAAAUUAUACAAAUUAUUAUUCAAUAAAAUGAAUUUUUUUUA